RNAcentral lists this non-coding RNA (26 nucleotides) under Cricetulus griseus (Chinese hamster). The record is from RNAcentral. Lineage: Eukaryota; Metazoa; Chordata; Mammalia; Rodentia; Cricetidae.
AGAAGAAAAGCGGGCCUUUGACUCUG